This is a long non-coding RNA of Biomphalaria glabrata, 2799 nucleotides long. RefSeq lists it as uncharacterized. The record is from RefSeq and is a predicted model, not a curated record. NCBI's taxonomy places the organism in Eukaryota, Metazoa, Mollusca, Gastropoda, Planorbidae. The transcript is spliced from 6 exons.
GGGGGCGCCAAAAAAUGGCGUGUUACAGAUACACUGCCCGUUUUUAAACAGUUACUUCAAGAUAUCUAGUCAGGAUAGAGUCUGGCUUUAACAUCUUCAUUAUAGUGAUGUUUUUAUUUUAAAAACUCGAUUCUUUGACAGUAAAGUAUAUCUACUUCAGUUUACUGGAUAUCGACGAGCGGUACCUGUUGAAAAAGGUUUGAAAAGCACUGAUCUAGAUCUAGAUCUACUGGGUAAUAGUUGAAAGCAAUCGUAUAUUUACUAAAUUCUUUAUCACUUAGCCGAAAUUCGUAUCUAUAGUUUUGUAUAUAAAUAACAAAAUGGCGAGUGUUUUGCUUUCACACUCACAGCAUUCGCAGGUUGAAACUUUAAAGAGGCGUAAGAAACAAAAUAAAAUUCUAAAAAAAUAAAUAAACUAAAAAUUCUUUUGUCUGUUCGCGAACAUUUAUCUUUAUCGGAUGAAGCAACACGGAUAUAUAUAUAUAUAUGGAGAGAGAGCAUAAAGGAAGGGUCACGGAUUGCAGAUGUCAUACACAACAGAAGCAGAAAGAAGGGUAAAAAUGCAACGGCGCCUGGUGAUUAUAUAUACCCAACCUGCGAUCGCAGCAGUGUAUCAAGGAUUGGCCUCUUUAGUCACACAAGAAGUUGCAAAGGAUUUGAUUUGGUGAUCCCUCUUCAGAAACAUCAGAUCAAAGGAAUGUACAUGCUGCUGAUAUAGAAAAAGUUUCUGACUGCUUACAGAUCAGUGUUCUUAGUUCUGCUAUUGAUUUACUAUUGCAUAAUAAAUAAACAUGUAAUGAUCAAUCACAUUUUUAUACCAAGUUCAUCUAAUGAUUUACACAGCAUAUUAUCAGCAUUCACAGUUCAUCUAAUGAUCUACAUAUGAAGCAGCACCAUGCAGAGCUAACAUCACCUACUGAAGAGAGUUUCCAUCAUGCUUUAGCAACAAUCCAAAAACAAAAUGAAAAAGUGGUUUCUUUGUUUGGGACAAGUCCUGAAAGGCCUUCAGAAUCUGGGAGCACACUAUUGUUAACAAGCAGUGUGUCAUAUGACCAGCACAAUGACCAACAGCCUUUACUUUUCGAACCAAAGUCAGGACACUGUUCAAAGAUAUUUUAAGAUGUUGGCCUCACAUCUUGACACUUGUUAGAGUGUAAAGAUUUGACUUAACAAAUGUUAAAAUAAAAAGAGCACAUUGUGGAGAGUUGACCGUCAUUAAAAAAUGAUUGUCAGACUUCUGCUAGAUGUUGAUCUUUUCAUCACAACACCAAUAACUUCUUCUUGGAGUCAAGUAACAGUGUAUAUCACCUGAAAAAGCUAUUUAAAUUCCCUUAAAGAUCACAAAUUAAUGCUGAUGACAUAAAGCACAUUUAUCCACGAAAUCUUAUGAACACAUAAUAUUAUGUUGUACAACUAAAUAGUGGUGUCUGGAAAUUUAGGCAGUGUGUAUGUAGUGUAUAUGCUUAUUUAUUAUUUAUCUGUUUCUUAAACAUAGGCUUAUGUUCCCCGCGCUACCCAAACUAUAAUUCGGAGUGUGAAACAUAGCAGAUUAACAGGUGCUAUAUUAUGUUUCGUUUAACAAAGAUUUUCUUACACUCUACAUAUUCCUCCCCCCCCCCCCGAGAGGUGGGCCAGGGGUAGUGGUAAGUAUUAUAAUCACGGACUGAGAAGACCUAACGGCGAGCGAGAAAGGGGUUACGUCGUCACUAGAUCUGUGUCAGCUCAAUACAAUUUUUUCUCUUCGUGGUGUAGUCUUAAUCAUAAACAGAUAAAAAUUAAAGUUUUAAGAUACUGUUAAUCUUCUAUAAUAAAAUGCUUAUUUCUUAUAGUAAUACGUUUCCCGUACUAGAUCUUUAUAAUUUAUUGUCAUUGCUCUAUAUAGUAUAGAUCACUUACUCACAAUCUAUACUUUUGUUGAAAAGAAAAAUAAUUAAACAUAUCGUGUAGAUAUAGAUGCGUGUUUCAUUAUGUUCGUGUAUAUUUUUGUUUUAUUUUAUCAAUAUUUCGCUUUGCUUGGUGACUUAAUAGAUAAAAUAUAAAUCUAAUUGUUAAUAUAUAUUUUGUUGUUGAUAAUUUCUUAAAUAGAAAAAAAGAAGAAAUAACAAGUUGUUCAUCAAAUGAUUAUUAACAUUUUAUUUAGACCUUCAUUUGAGUAAAUAAAAAAAACAUAGUUGAACGCAUAAGAACAAAACACUCUCUUUAAAACAUGUUAUUUGAAGUUCAAUAUAGAUAAAGGAGAUCAAUAUGCUUAAAAACAACAUGGUGGGCGGAAUAGAUCUAGUUAUCUGGGCGUCUGAACUUCUAAAUCUUGUAUAUCUAGUUCUAGAUCUAGAGCAGGGCUGCGCAAAUAACGACCCCCCUGGCCACAAGUGGCCCGCUGGAGUGUUUUAUGUUCUAAUAUUACUGUAAGAACUGGUCGAUGCUGACUGACAGUAAUUUAACAGCAGUCGCAAGGAUUACAACUAGUAAUAUAUCUAAAACAUUUUUAAUCUUUUAAUUUUCACAAUGAAAUCAUUUUCUUUUUACUCCAGCGCAAGAACACCAUCCAAUCCAAUCACUCGUUCAGCCUUUUUUUUUUUUUUAUACAUUUGCGUCAUUCGCGAUUUCACUAGUUGGUCACGUGACAGGGCCCAGCUCUUGUCCCUAUCGGUUAUACAAAUGGGUCAAAUGAAAUUUUCUUUAAUUGUGAUUAAUUUAAUUUAGCCAUAGAAAGAAAUAAUGAUGUAGCGCUGUCUUUAAUCUAGAAUAAAUAAUCAAUGUAAUGUAGGUCGAUUGUAUUUAAUAUUUAAUAGAUCUAUA